GAUGAAGAACGUAGCAAAAUGCGAUAAGUAAUGCGAAUUGCAGAAUUCAGUGAAUCAUCGAAUCUUUGAACGCACAUUGCGCCCGCCAGUACUCUGGCGGGCAUGCCUGUCUGAGCGUCAUUUCAACCCUCGCGCCCGGCUUCUGUCGGGGGCGGUGUUGGGGAUCGGCCUCCCGUCUUCCGGGCGGCCGGCCCCUAAAUGGAGUGGCGACCGCGCCGUAGCCUCCUCUGCGUAGUAGUGAAACCCUCGCGGGCGGAGAGCGGUGCGGCCCGCCGUAAAACCCCCAACUCUUCUAAGGUUGACCUCAGAUCAGGUAGGAAUACCCGCUGAACUUAAGCAUAUCAAUAAGCGGAGGA
RNAcentral lists this unclassified non-coding RNA (356 nucleotides) under soil metagenome. RNAcentral describes it as "partial contains 5.8S ribosomal RNA, internal transcribed spacer 2, and large subunit ribosomal RNA". The stretch from base 1 to 120 matches the Rfam family "5.8S ribosomal RNA", at positions 35 to 154 of the family's 154-position model. The record is from RNAcentral.